This 579-nucleotide ribosomal RNA is filed under the name uncultured Glomeromycotina. RNAcentral's name for it is "LSU rRNA". It matches the Rfam family "Eukaryotic large subunit ribosomal RNA", at positions 204 to 637 of the family's 3401-position model. Lineage: Eukaryota; Fungi; Glomeromycota. The record is from RNAcentral.
CAUGGAGGGUGAGAAUCCCGUUCGGUUGAUCAGUUGCGUAUACGAUACGCUUUCAAAGAGUCAAGUUGUUUGGGAUUGCAGCUUAAAAUGGGAGGUAAAUUUCUCCUAAGGCUAAAUAUUGGCGAGAGACCGAUAGCGAACAAGUGCCGCGAGGGAAAGAUGAAAAGCAUUUUGAAAAGAAAGUCAAAUAGCACGUGAAAUUGUUGAAAGGGAAACGAUUGAAGUCAGUCGUACCGAUGGGCAUUCAACUCCUCGGGUGCGAUUAUGUGGGUGUUGGGGAGCUUAACGGCCCUCGCGUUUGCGUAUUUGUGCCCUUCGGGUGUACUUGCCCGUAUGGUAGGUCAGCAUCAAUUUUGGACAUCAUAAAAUGACGGGGGGAAAGUAGCUUCGAUCUCGUAUUGAAGUGUUAUAGCCCCUGGUAGAUGUGAUGACCGGGAUUGAGGAUUGCAACGAACCCCUCGGGGCCACCUGUCUGGCCUCUGUUGGUCGCUCUGGUGCCGAAAGCUCGCUUACGGUCAUCGGAGUUGAUCGUCAAAAGGUUAGAACGGGUUGAAUUCGUUAAGGAUGUUGACGUAAUGG